Molecule: long non-coding RNA, 209 nt
Filed under: Citrus x clementina
Lineage: Eukaryota; Viridiplantae; Streptophyta; Magnoliopsida; Sapindales; Rutaceae
Description: Citrus clementina (C. clementina) long non-coding RNA (CCLE_LNC003123)
Source: RNAcentral
GGGGAAGAAAAGGAAGUAAAGAUAUUUUUAAUUUUGUGCAGAGAAAAAAAAUACAGCGAGAGACAUUGAAAGUCGCAACUUGGAACAGAAACCCCAAUUCCUUCUACAUGUCUCUUUGGCUGAUGCCCUUUAUCUUUUGCUAACUCUUGGAAUCUGGAACCAUGUACACAUCAUAACCAUACACAAAAAUAAUUAACCUAAUUGUCCAC